GAUGAACGCUGGCGGCGUGCCUAAAACAUGCAAGUCGAGCGGCAGCGAGUUCCUCGCUAAUGUUCGGAUUUGUUUACCAAUGAUGCAAGUAAUUUAGUCAGAGUAACAAAGUAACGACUAGUUGUUUAAGUUAAAAGGUAGAUUUAAUAUUCCGGAUAUGAGCGAGGAAUGUCGGCGAGCGGCGGACGGCUGAGUAGCGCGUAGGAACAUACCCCAAAGUGAGGCAUAACCGCCCGAAAGGGUGGCUAAUACCGCAUAUUGUCUUCGGAUGAAAGCUUUUAGCGCUUUGGGAAUGGCCUGCGUUUGAUUAGCUAGUUGGUGAGGUAAGGGCUUACCAAGGCGAUGAUCAAUAGCUGGUUUGAGAGAAUGAUCAGCCAGACUGGAACUGAGACACGGUCCAGACUCCGUACGGGAGGCAGCAGUUGGGAAUUUUCCACAAUGGGCGAAAGCCUGAUGGAGCAACGCCGCGUGCGAGGAAGAAUGUCUUCGGGUUGUAAA
Molecule: ribosomal RNA, 498 nt
Filed under: uncultured bacterium
Lineage: Bacteria
Description: bacterial SSU rRNA
Rfam family: Bacterial small subunit ribosomal RNA
Source: RNAcentral